GCCCCCGUAGCUCAAUGGACAGAGCAGCGGCCUUCUAAGCCGUUGGUUGUGGGUUCGAGUCCCGCCGGGGGCGCCA
Molecule: transfer RNA, 76 nt
Filed under: Pseudomonadota bacterium
Lineage: Bacteria; Pseudomonadati; Pseudomonadota
Also listed under: 3 other names
Description: tRNA-Arg
Rfam family: tRNA
About the family: Transfer RNA (tRNA) molecules are approximately 80 nucleotides in length. Their secondary structure includes four short double-helical elements and three loops (D, anti-codon, and T loops).
Source: RNAcentral